CGCAAGCUGUUUGCGCAUAUCAUUCGGGGGCCCCUGGGCAUGCAACUUUGGAUUGCAAGGCGCUUAAGCAUAAAGUUCAGGAUAUGGUUGAGUCUGGAGAAAUCGUGAUCAGAAAGAGGGAGCCGCAAGGGCCAAACGUAAAUCAAAACCCCUUGCCAGAGCAUGUUGGGGUUAUUAUGGACGAUGCGGAGUACGAGGAACAAAUCAAGAAAUUGGCAAUAGAAGCUGAAGUGUUUGGGGUCACGGACCAACCAUUUGUCAUAGAGUUGCCAUUCGAAGAAGAUAA
This 286-nucleotide long non-coding RNA is filed under the name Coffea arabica (coffee). RNAcentral describes it as "long non-coding RNA (CARA_LNC001249)". The record is from RNAcentral. Lineage: Eukaryota; Viridiplantae; Streptophyta; Magnoliopsida; Gentianales; Rubiaceae.